CAGCGUGGACUAUUAUUAUAAUCUCUACUUAGCAGAUAGGAAAUUGAGUCCCAGAGAGGUCAUGGACAGAUCUGCAUAGAUCACCUGGGACGGUGAUGUGUCCCACCAGAGUCACACAGUUGGUGAGUGGGGCUCUGGGAUUUGAACUCAAACAAAGAUCCAGAGUCUUUGCUUUUAAGCACCACUGUAUACUCUACCCCACACCCACAUUCUCAAAGGGGACCUUGUCAUCUGAACUUGGAGGGGUCCCUCUGUGGAAUUUUUGUGCAACUUCUGGUUAAUGAUGCUUAGGUGGAUUUUGGCCUUUUGACUUCUUCCUGCAUUUUGCUUGGAGAAAUAAUGAUUUAUCAACAUGUUAUUCGAUGUGGGAAUAGCUGGAAUAAAAGUGUGCAGCCCGGCCCGUCCCACCCAUGAGCAACCUUAGUUCAGAAGUCCUCCCUGGCAUCCUGGCUUGACUCCACGGAGAGGAGGAGGUUCUUGGGGCUGAAGUUCACCACUAUUGUUUGGGGUGAAAUGUGUUUCUAGUUAGUAUAAAAUGCUUCUUAAACAGACGCUGUUUUCUGAAAUUUAAGAAACUAGUACUUACGCCAUUGGAUUAGCUAUAGAGUAGCUGGCUGAAAACGUGCUUUGGUACAGUGGAAAGGGCAGUUUGUAGAGAUCAAGGGUCUCUCUGGGUAUGGGGGGCUUGAAAUGAGUGUCACCUGGGUAGGAUGAGUGUGUAGGUAAAGGAUGGACCCAGGUAACUGGUUAAAUCGCUAGAUCCCUUAUCAAAGGAGUUUAUGAACAUUUUGAUUCACAAGUGAGGUGACAGAUCUUACCAGACUGCCCAAGAUCAUUAGGAGAAAACAGGCCUUCACCACCCCAGUCAGUCUUCGUGGGGCUGUAGUUAUGGUUGUCAUCCUUACUGCAGAGGGCUGGACAGAUGACCGAGGCUGGCCAGUUACAGUCCUGCCUCUUCCCCCUGGCCAAAUUGAUUCUUUGGGGAAAUGAACCGUGAACCCAAUCACCCAUUCUCACCUUUACUAGGACUUUGUGGAUAGAGUUUGACAAGGUGAUGCAGAAAGUCUUGUUUUUUACUGAGGGUGCGAAGCUGUGAGAACCAUGUACGGAGCUGUUACUGUCCAAUUUCUCUACCCACAGAGAGAAGCCGAGAUGAGAUACGGAGAGGUGGAGAUUGGAUCAGUAGAGCCUUGAUGCCUUCACUUGAGUACCUUGUUCCAGCUUUGCCUGAAGGCGCUCAUGAAUUGCUCCGCAAAAUAAGCUACUGGAUUCCUCUUCUUACUCAGCUUGUUUGAGCUGGGAGUCUGUCAUUCAGAAGAAAAAGACUCUUGACUAAAAUAGCAUGAGUGCAUGUGUUUCAAGCUCAUUAUUUGUCCUUUAACCCCUACAGGUGUCAGAGACGCAGGAAUGGAUAAGACGCAGACUUGGCCUCUGCAGGUGUCAACUUGCCCCUGGAGGUCUCAACGUCCUGUGCUCCCUGCCCUUGCCUCAGCCAUUCUCACACAAGUGACUGCGAAUCAGCUCGGGGUGCACGUUAGAAAUGCAAAUUCCUGAGCCUCAGCCUCCAGAAAUUCUGAUUCAGUUCCGUGCAUAAUAAACAAAGCCUCCAGUGGCUCGGGGCGUGGGUGUGUUCCAUGCCCCAUGUUGAGAAAUGUGCUGGCCACUCACCCAACACACCGCUUCAGUAACAUCUCUCAGCUGCACAGCAGGUAGGCAUGGGGGUAGGGUAUCUUUAGGAAAGUGUAUUGGAUUACUGGGUGGGAGGGGUCGAGUUCUGUGUAUGCAGCCACCUCCCUCCCCACCCCAAACUUCUUAGAUGAUUCAUGUCUCACCCACCCAGGGGUGGGGAGAACGCUAAGUGAGGAGUCUUUGCAGGGGUUCUUAGUAGAAAAGCCUGGGGAGAGUUUUAAAAACACUAUUGCUUAGGUCCUACUCAAAUAUGAAUCAGUCAGUGGCCCCGGGGGAUUCUAAUCAGCAGGAGGGUUGCAAACCAGUGCACCAGAAUCCCAGAAAUGAUUGGCAUCUGGGAGGCCAUCUGGGGCCCCUGGAAGGCCCUCUGGCCAGCCUGAGUCUUCUUGGCACAGGAUGGAAGGGAUGGAAAGAGAAGAAGUCCGUUACUGUCAAGGGCAAGGUGGUUAUGGCAGGUGGGGUGUUUGUAGGUACUUACCAAAAUGUAAUAAUAGGGCAACAAAUCAAUGAAAUAAAAUAGCAAGAAUGCACAAUAAAAAGUAAAAACAUAAAUAACAAGAGAGCGCUUUGUUGGGGAAAACAUCAUGAAGGUAUCUUAAGAACCAAGGAUUGUGAUUAAAACACCCACAUACCAGGGUGGGGGCAAUCAGGGGCUGGCCACACCUAGAGUUUUUUUGUUUUUUUUGUAUAUUCAGUUGUCUUGCAUAAACAAAUAUGAGAUCAACCCAGUUGGUGGGCGGGGUCAGUUCCUGACACUUCCUCAUUGAUAUGUGACUGUGUAAGCCAAUCCUGUGAACCCGAGGUCUGAAAACCAUUUAAGAGUUUUCUUUGAAAACAAAUGAGGCAAUCUGUCUGUAUCAUUACUGUUUCAAAGCUCUUGGUGCCCUUUCUUUCUCAGAGGUCCACUGUCUGUCGUUUCUGGGACUUGGGCCCCACCAGGAGGAGGCUGGGCACUGUGGGCAGAUAGGCUGCUAAACCCUCUGGGACGUGGCUUCCCCCUCCACAGGCAGCCCUGGGACUUUUCUGAGCCCUGGCCAGGUGUUUCUGAAGUCUGUCCAGAAAGCAACCUUUGCUGCUCCUGCACUGAUCUGGACAGUGUUAACCAGUCAUGACUCACCCCUGGGCAGUCUGAUAAAAAGGGCAAAUUUUUAGGCCCUUCCCUGGAGACUCAGGUUCAUCAGUUUGGGUAAGUGAGUUAUUAACAUGAGCUUCUGGUGGUUCCUGGGACCAGGGACAGCAGGGAAACAUCACCCUGAUGCAUCUCACCUGCUCACCCGACAGCCUCUCUCCUGUCCUUCCUGAUGAGCUGGGUUCCCCACAGACUUUGACAAAUGGGUCACUGUUCUUCCUGUUUGAAGACGACUCAUCCUGAAUGCAUGUGGCCUGGCAAAGAAAUUUGGUCCUAGUCUUAACCAAUGAGUAUGGAGUGCCUGCUGUAGGCCACGAUGAGGCUUGACUUUGGGGACACGAAGAUUAAACGAGACAGCUGGUCCAUGAAUUUCUGUGUGGAGGCAGCUCC
Molecule: long non-coding RNA, 3208 nt
Organism: Nycticebus coucang (slow loris)
Lineage: Eukaryota; Metazoa; Chordata; Mammalia; Primates; Lorisidae
Exons: 3
Source: RefSeq, a predicted model, not a curated record